Molecule: ribosomal RNA, 497 nt
Filed under: uncultured bacterium
Lineage: Bacteria
Description: partial 16S ribosomal RNA
Rfam family: Bacterial small subunit ribosomal RNA
Source: RNAcentral
GAUGAACGCUGGCGGCGUGCCUAAUACAUGCAAGUCGAGCGAACGGACGAUAAGCUUGCUCUUCUGAUGUUAGCGGCGGACGGGUGAGUAACACGUGGAUAACCUACCUAUAAGACUGGGAUAACUUCGGGAAACCGGAGCUAAUACCGGAUAAUAUUUUGAACCGCAUGGUUCAAAAGUGAAAGACGGUCUUGCUGUCACUUAUAGAUGGAUCCGCGCUGCAUUAGCUAGUUGGUAAGGUAACGGCUUACCAAGGCAACGAUGCGUAGCCGACCUGAGAGGGUGAUCCGCCACACUGGAACUGAGACACGGUCCAGACUCCUACGGGAGGCAGCAGUAGGGAAUCUUCCGCAAUGGGCGAAAGCCUGACGGAGCAACACCGCGUGAGUGAUGAAGGUCUUCGGGUCGUAAAACUCUGUUAUUAGGAAAGAACACAUGUGUAAGUAACUGUGCACAUCUUGACGGUACCUAAACAGAAAGCCACGGCUAACUACGUG